CUGAGUCAGCCAUGGGAGCACAGGUGAAGGCAAUUCAGCUGUGUGACCAGAAGGGGUGGAGCCUGGCUGCACCUCUCCUAGACCCCAUUUAAGGGCUGACUGCCACUGGGGAAGGAUCUCUUUUUGGAGAUUGCUUCUUGUGGAGUUUAUCCUGUGAGCCUAUGACACAGGUGAGCAUUUGCUAUCUGUUUCUGAUUAUCCCUUUCCAAUGCAAUAAUCUUUCUAGCUUUACCACCUAUGGAUACCAAUCUGACCACACCAUUCUGUAUAUCUGUUGAUUAUACAGCACCAUUCUGUAUAUUUGUUGGCUAUACAGAUGUCCUGUCCCUUCUCUUUCCAAACCCUGGUGCAUCCACUGGCAUGUUCCUUCCCCUGCAGAUUUCCCCUGGUCCCAUCCGACUGGCAGCAGGAGAGUCUCCGUGCCUGUUGUCAUUUGCAUUAUUCUGGGGGCUCUUCUCUGCCUGCUCCUGGCCCUCCUGGCUGGGCAGAUGCAAAAUGCCAAGGCCCAGCGCAGAGGCUCCAGUAGAAUUGAGGAGCCCGUCCUCGAGGCUGUGUAUGAGGAGAUCACAUACAGCUCUGCAUGGGAGAAGCAGACAGUGUUUGAGCACUCAGACAUUGCUAUCCCGCCCAGAGGUGAUCCAGAAGAUGGCUAUGAUGAUGCCAAGUCGGCUUCUGAACCUGAGGAUGAUCCUGUCUCUGGGCAGGGUCGCCAUGAGUUGCCCAGGACACGAGAGGAGGGAGAGGAGCCCAGGGAUGCAGUCAGAGGUAAGAAGGAAAUGGAAUGCAGCUCUGCUAGUUACCACGUACCAUUCCCUGUCUUAGGUGAAUUGCUGCAG
This 836-nucleotide long non-coding RNA is filed under the name Pavo cristatus (Indian peafowl). RNAcentral describes it as "lncRNA (ENSPSTG00000019113.1)". The record is from RNAcentral. Lineage: Eukaryota; Metazoa; Chordata; Aves; Galliformes; Phasianidae.